CCAGCCGCUAAAACCCGCGUCCACCAGGACGCCCCUUUCGAGUGACCUCGGAUCA
RNAcentral lists this ribosomal RNA (55 nucleotides) under Magnaporthiopsis poae. Its description in RNAcentral is "partial 28S ribosomal RNA". The record is from RNAcentral. Lineage: Eukaryota; Fungi; Ascomycota; Sordariomycetes; Magnaporthales; Magnaporthaceae.